RNAcentral lists this small RNA (955 nucleotides) under Pan troglodytes (chimpanzee). Its description in RNAcentral is "transcribed unitary pseudogene". The record is from RNAcentral. Lineage: Eukaryota; Metazoa; Chordata; Mammalia; Primates; Hominidae.
AUGGAUGUGAUUGCAGACACCUUGGUACUUUUGGGAAAAUUUCUAUAUUACUUUUUGGAAUCUUUGGUUUACAAGAUAAUUCCCAAGAAGAAAAAGAAUGUUGCUGGAGAGAUUGUACUUGUAACGGGAGCUGGAAGUGGACUUGGGAGGCAAUUGGCUAUACAUUUUGCCAGGUUUGGAGCCAUUUUAGUUCUAUGGGAUGUUAAUCAAGAAGGCAAUAUGGAAACUUGUCGACUGGUCAAAGAAAAGGGUGGUAAGAAAGUGUUUCCCUACACGUGUGACUGUAGAAACAGACAAGAGGUCUACAGAGUUGCUGAUCAGGUCAGGAAAGAAGUUGGUGACGUGACCAUCCUCGUUAACAAUGCUGACUUAGUCACGGGAAAGCCCUUCCUCGAUAUUCCAGAUCACAUGGUGGAAAAAUCCUUUCUUGUAAAUGCCAUCUCUCAUUUCUGGACUUGUAAGGCCUUCCUUCCUGCCAUGAUUAAAGCUAACCAUGGUCACCUGGUUUGUAUUUCAAGUAUAGCAGGAGUAGUUGGUAUUAAUGGACUAUCAGAUUAUUCUGCAAGUAAAUUUGCAGGCUUUGGCUUUGCUGAAUCUCUCUUUUUUGAAUUAACUACGAUAAAGAAAACUGAAGUUAAAACCACCAUCGUGUGCCCACAUUUCAUCAACACUGGAAUGUUUGAGGGCUGUACAAGCAAGUAUCCGUUUCUGUUACCAAUUCUGGAGCAGGAGUAUGUGGCCAAAAAAAUUUUAAAUGCUAUUUUAGAGGAACAAGUUUAUUUAAUGAUAUCCAAAUUUGCAUAUAUCGGAUUGAUUCUUAAACAAAUAAUAUCUCCAAAAAUGUUGAUUGCCUUUGGUGAGUACCUUGGAAUGGACACUUGCAUGGCUUCUUUCAAAGGGAGAAAGAAAGCAAAUGAACUUCAGACUGAAACUGAAGGGAAACACCAGUAGCUCA